UCGCAUAGCUUCAAAAGAAUGGGCCU
RNAcentral lists this small RNA (26 nucleotides) under Bombyx mori (domestic silkworm). RNAcentral describes it as "ovarian small RNA-28618". The record is from RNAcentral. Lineage: Eukaryota; Metazoa; Arthropoda; Insecta; Lepidoptera; Bombycidae.